Molecule: non-coding RNA, 739 nt
Organism: Cucurbita pepo subsp. pepo (vegetable marrow)
Lineage: Eukaryota; Viridiplantae; Streptophyta; Magnoliopsida; Cucurbitales; Cucurbitaceae
Source: RefSeq, a predicted model, not a curated record
AGCCUCUGCACCAACAGGCAACUAAGCUUCUUCAAUGUUCAAUAUCAUAGACAAUGAACACAGCAGCAAAUUGGUAAGAUAAAUUCUCCCUUUACUGUAAAUUUCUCGUGCCAUGCCAUGGAUAUUCAUUACUUGAAUUCAUUGUAUCAUACAGUUUAGAGCAAGAUUUGAUAAUGAAAAGAAAGGAAAAGGAAAAACCUCGGAUACCAUCUGGUCGCUGUGAAGAGGAGGAGGAGCCCAUAGCACGGAUAGAAGACGAUGAAAGCUUUUCGUUCUUGGCCGCUCUGAAAAUUGGAGGAGAAGCUAGCAGAGGCCCGUGGGGGGAUGGGUAUGCUUCUGAUUCUGCAAUCUUAGCCGUUUGAUGGAAUCUUAGAGAUGAUUGAUGGAAUAUGGAUGGUUAGAUUGGGAAGGAGGAAACGGAUGUUGUGAGCUGGGAAGCAUUUGAGUGGGUGGAUGAGAACAAGCCCUGUCUUAGCAGAAGUGGAUAUGUGUUGGCCACGUUUAUUCCCUUGGAACUGCAUGAUUAUGAUUGUUCCAUAUUGAACGAGUAUCAAUUAUGUUCUUAAGUUUCCAUUGGUGGGAGAAGUGAGUUAUACAAACAAAUGUUCCAUAUUAGAAUCAUUCAAGAUCGGUAGGAUCAAUCUUACUUAUGAAAUGAUUCGAAUCUCAAACAAAUAUUUUUGCCUUGAGAUAUUCAAUCAACAAAGUAAUCCAAAUCUCACUUCCUUGUAGUUCCUUA